Molecule: non-coding RNA, 1005 nt
Organism: Microcebus murinus (gray mouse lemur)
Lineage: Eukaryota; Metazoa; Chordata; Mammalia; Primates; Cheirogaleidae
Source: RefSeq, a predicted model, not a curated record
CUCCUCGGAAGGGCCGCGGGCGGGGCGGCCGCGGGGGCUGCCGGGGGCGCGCCGACUGCGCCUGCGCCGGCCACCGCGCCGCUCUGGUUGGGGUAGGGGGCGCUUCAGGGAGCUGCCGAGGGAACUCGGGGCGGCGGUCACAGGCGGCUACGUCGGCCCUCGGUGGGCCCUAGCGGGCAGGUGUGCGCCCGGCGCUCUCCUGAAGACAAGCGCCGCCUGCCUCCCGCUUCUCUGCGGAGGCUCCAGGAGGGCCUGCCCAGCCAGCAGGACCUUCGCCGGUCCGACCCCGCCCCCCGCGUCUCGGCCAAUGGGAGCGCGGGCCCUCCCGGAGCAGCCAAUGGAGGGCGCGCUCGGCGCAGCGGGCGGGACAUCCGGGCUGGCCGCACCUGGAUCGCCCCGCCCUACUGCCGGAGGCCGGGCAGGUCCCUGUCCACCUUUGCUAACGGCCCCUACUCAGCGCUCCCCGUUGCCCACCAAUGGCUACUUCAGGGGUCCCUGGGGCCCCCAGUACGGUCUUAGGGAAACGCGGCCGAUGGUUUUCACGUUUGCGGGUGUGUAGGGAGGUGCCGCAGGCGCUCCCCGGUUACCGCAGGGCGGAGUCCCGGUAAGCCCUCGCUGGAGUCAGAGAGGUGCGAAGCACAGCGCGCAGGACAGGCCUUGGACCCGCAGUGCUGGAGGGCCGCGUGGCACAGGAGACGGGAUGUGGGCAGCUCCAGGAGCCAAGACCAGCCCCAGCUGAGAGCCGGCAAGGAGACAGCAACCAAAAGGAACUUAAUCCAGACAACGACCUGGAAGGAGGACCUGGAUCUCGGAAGGAGAUUCACUGCAACAGCCCUGCUGACGCCUGGAUUCCAUCCUCCUGUGACUCGAGGCAGAGGACCGGCUGAGCAAACUGCCCAGAUGUCCAACCCACAGAACUGUGAGGUGAUAAACGGGUGGUGUCGUAAGCCAUUAAGACUGAGAUCUGUGAUGGCCGCAAAAGAAAUACAAGGUGUACGUGUGGAA